RNAcentral lists this ribosomal RNA (485 nucleotides) under uncultured bacterium. RNAcentral's name for it is "partial 16S ribosomal RNA". It matches the Rfam family "Bacterial small subunit ribosomal RNA", at positions 28 to 507 of the family's 1533-position model. The record is from RNAcentral.
GAUGAACGCUAGCGACAGGCUUAACACAUGCAAGUCGAGGGGCAGCACAGGUAGCAAUACCGGGUGGCGACCGGCGCACGGGUGAGUAACGCGUAUGCAACUUACCUAUCAGAGGGGGAUAACCCGGCGAAAGUCGGACUAAUACCGCAUGAAGCAGGGGUCCCGCAUGGGGAUAUUUGCUAAAGAUUCAUCGCUGAUAGAUAGGCAUGCGUUCCAUUAGGCAGUUGGCGGGGUAACGGCCCACCAAACCGACGAUGGAUAGGGGUUCUGAGAGGAAGGUCCCCCACAUUGGUACUGAGACACGGACCAAACUCCUACGGGAGGCAGCAGUGAGGAAUAUUGAUUAAUGGCCGAGAGGCUGAACCAGCCAAGUCGCGUGAGGGAUGAAGGUUCUAUGGAUCGUAAACCUCUUUUAUAAGGGAAUAAAGUGCGGGACGUGUCCCGUUUUGUAUGUACCUUAUGAAUAAGGAUCGGCUAACUCCGUG